This is a long non-coding RNA of Pomacea canaliculata, 555 nucleotides long. RefSeq lists it as uncharacterized. The transcript has 2 exons. The record is from RefSeq and is a predicted model, not a curated record. NCBI's taxonomy places the organism in Eukaryota, Metazoa, Mollusca, Gastropoda, Architaenioglossa, Ampullariidae.
ACUGAACUGAACUGAACCACCAAAACGCAGAAAAGGUGCCAGACCUACAACUACUCUUACAGCAGAGAAAACAGAUAAAGCUUUGUAAGAAAAAAAGAAUCAUAAAGAUUUCAGUGCUGUGAAUAAUGAUCAUACUUACCACAAACUAGUAUUACUGGACUUCGCAAAAGGCUAAGCAUUGGUCUUGGUGUAGCGAGAGAAACCGACCUACCUAGAAUUAACAACUAAGCGAGGUCCGCGCAUGUGUAGAUACCAUUUUCUCCGCAUGCGCUGUUCACAUAGACAUUGCAUCUUGUGAAAAGGGAAGAACCAAAGUUUCAGCAAGAACCAAUGUAUCCUUAUGGUCUAUGCACAGACGGGUGUUUUCUGUGGAACGCGUGUCUCAGUGGAUUAGCAGACAUUUUCGUGCAUUUGUCUCAGAGAGAACUACAUCCCCUAAAGUGAUAGGAAGCCUCGUUAUGCAGACACUGGGUCUUCUAGUGUUGCUGAGUGUAUUAGCAGAUAUGUUCAUGGUAUUGUUUAUCAAAACUAAUAAUAAAGCAUGAGUUGUGUUUA